ACUCCGCUCACCCCCUCCUAUACAGGGCUCUUGGUUCAGGUCUCUUGGUUCGUCCUGCUGCAAGUUGGGAAGAAAGAUAAUAGGAAUGCUAAUUCCUUCUUGAUGAAACGACCACAACACGCUGGAGCCGGCCUUGGACCCUACGUUUCAAGAUUGGCCUGCUUCCAGCGUCUGCCAGCUCCACUGCACAAGCUGCGGCAGCCGCUGUCCCCGUUCGCUUCCACGGGAGUCCCAGCAAGACUAUGCGACCCAGUUCAAAUACCAUCUUCCAUGUACCGUUCGUGAAAUCAGCAGCUUUUGACAUUCAAGAGAGGACAGAUUACUUAAAAACAGACUCAUGAACAAAUAGGGAAACGAAUACAUCAUCCCUGUAUCGAAUUCAUCCCUGUAUAAUCCUGCCCUUACACCUGUGCUCCUAUACAAGAUUAACAUUCAAUACUCGGGAGGCUGAAGCAGGAGAAUUGCUUGAACCCGGGCAGCAGAGGUUGAGGUGAGCUGAGAUCGCACCAUUGCUCUUCAGCCUGGGCAGCAAGAGCUAAACUCUGUCUCUAAAUAAAUAAAUAAGACUUUAGGUAAGUUAUUUGUGAUUACUAUACAUGAAAUUGAUCAGAAGUCUAACAAAUGAUUGAGGUAAUCCUGUGUCCCUAAAAUCUCAAGCCUGGUUAACAACAGUCUCUUGCUGUUGGGCCCUGUGGUAAUCUCUGAACCCUGGAAUUCCUUCUAACAGGGAGUAGGAUGCAAAAGGUGUGCGUUCUGCACAAGUAGAGGAAAAAACAAGGGUGCGGCUUCCAGAUUCUCCAACUGAGAACUUAAUACACUGCCACCAAAGAAACUGCAGUUUCUUUUGUUUAGAGAAAAGGUCUUGCUCUAUCACCCUUGCAUUGGAUGAGGGUGACCUCAAUGGGUUGCAUGUUCUAGGCUCCCCUGUCAGCUGGGAUGGGGCUUUG
RNAcentral lists this long non-coding RNA (947 nucleotides) under Homo sapiens (human). Its description in RNAcentral is "HSALNT0031258". The record is from RNAcentral. Lineage: Eukaryota; Metazoa; Chordata; Mammalia; Primates; Hominidae.